Molecule: long non-coding RNA, 903 nt
Filed under: Nicotiana tabacum (common tobacco)
Lineage: Eukaryota; Viridiplantae; Streptophyta; Magnoliopsida; Solanales; Solanaceae
Description: long non-coding RNA (NTAB_LNC009801)
Source: RNAcentral
CAUGGGAUCCGCCGUUUUUCAAAGGGGACCCAAAAAAUAUGUCACCUUUUGCUUCAUGAGCACAACAUAGAACACCUAAGAUCUAGAGCUUGAAGCAAAAUCGGCAGCAUCUCCUUAACAAGGGAGAGCUCACCUUUAAUUCCCUAAGAAGCUUCAGCCAUUACCCAUAUAUCCCCAUCUCUUAACAGCACUACUUAUCCCCUUAUUCUUCCUCAUCGAUUCAUUAACCAUCAUCCAUUCAAUGGCCAACUAAAAACUAUCCUAAAAUCAACAAAAUACCAUGAAAAAACACUACCAAAGGCUCCUCCAAAAUAGUCACAAAAAUCUGCCAUGAAACAGCUCAAAAUCAGACAUCAAAAUAAUCCAAAACUCAGUGAAAGUCAGUCUGAAAUAGGAGUUCAAACACAACAUAAAUCCAGCAAAAACGCACCAAAAACUGCCUCUACAGGAGACCCGAAGCAGCUCCAAAAACACUCCAAAAAGGGUGGAUGUUAAGUGAGGUAUCCGUUCAAACUUCGACGAGGUUUUUCGGGCGAGUUUUCUAUCUCAGUCUAAGGUUAGUUUCCAUUCUUGUUCAUUUUCUAAUAAUGAUUGUCGAUGUGCUUACAUUCUUUCCUUUAAUAUACUGAGGUAGUUUUUUUUUUUUUUUUUUUAUUUUAUUAAGAGUCCAAGUCUCUUUACUCUUUUCUUGAGUUCUUAUUAGUCAUCUUCAAUCUUUUAUUUGUUAUUGUACGAUUUAAAUUUCGCGGCUAAUUCUAUUGUUUGCACAACCAUAUUUAGAUUAAUGUUUGGUUAGUUAUGAGUAUAAGUGUAGUAAUCCUAAGCCUUUUUGUCAAUUGGGUGUAAUGAUUCAUAGUAUUUCGUUAUUAAAAUGCCCUGUCCAUGUACACCUUUAUGUGUCCG